RNAcentral lists this transfer RNA (84 nucleotides) under Citrobacter phage CkP1. RNAcentral's name for it is "tRNA-Tyr". It matches the Rfam family "tRNA". Rfam says of the family: Transfer RNA (tRNA) molecules are approximately 80 nucleotides in length. Their secondary structure includes four short double-helical elements and three loops (D, anti-codon, and T loops). Further hydrogen bonds mediate the characteristic L-shaped molecular structure. tRNAs have two regions of fundamental functional importance: the anti-codon, which is responsible for specific mRNA codon recognition, and the 3' end, to which the tRNAs corresponding amino acid is attached (by aminoacyl-tRNA synthetases). tRNAs cope with the degeneracy of the genetic code in two manners: having more than one tRNA (with a specific anti-codon) for a particular amino acid; and 'wobble' base-pairing, i.e. permitting non-standard base-pairing at the 3rd anti-codon position. Lineage: Duplodnaviria; Heunggongvirae; Uroviricota; Caudoviricetes; Pantevenvirales; Straboviridae. The record is from RNAcentral.
GGGGAGUUAGACCGUAGGGGUAGCGGAACGGAUUGUAAAUCCGUUGUCAUUGCGACUCGGGUGGUUCGACUCCAUCACUCCCCA